CCUCCGUCUUCACCCAGUCUUCGAAGACUUUGAAUGUGGAAAAUCUUUGCCACUUCGGCAACUAAUACACAAACACAAAUUUUGCAUUUUUUAUUUCUUCCUCGCAGAUAGAGGAAGCCACGAGAAGCUUCAACCCUUUUACCCUUCAUGGAAUCACGUCCAUAACGCUACAUAUUUCUGUUUCUCUUAUUCUCAUUGGCUUUGUUUUUUUUUCGUUUUGCGCAAUUUUGAUCUAUGGGUCUCGCGAAGAAUCUGCGAGGCUCGAGAACGGAAGCGCCACAAGAAGGUUUACCCAUUUCGGCGGUUUUCGGUGGCUCCUCUGCUGUCGUAGCUCCGUUGCCAUACCUCUCGUCCUGUGCCUUUGAUCUCCUCUGUUGUACGUGCCACCGUGACCUCCUCUGCAGUGCCGCCACGUCGGAGUCACCUAAUCCCUAAACGAGCAGCACGUCCUGCGCGAUUCCCGCCGUGGGCUUCCCCUCACUUUCGAAGGAAGCCGGUGAGGCCUAUCUCGUUGGGCUGUUCGAGGAUACCCACCUCACGAAGAGAGAGAGCGGGAUAAAGAAGAAUGUGUUUGAAUUCUGAAAAAAUUGGAACAUGUCUUCAACUACUGUGGUGGGGUGGGUCUUGGAUGAUUAAUUUUGACAAGAAAACUAUUUGAAUAAGUGAAUAUCUCAUCCAUGUAUAUCAACAUCAAUAAUUUGUUUACUGUGCAAUAUUUUUUAUAACGAUAAAUUCAAUUUAGGCAGAGGGAGUGUAGGAUGUGUUAAAGGUCUCAACUCAGUAAUGAUGGUCUUAUUUCAGGGAACAUAUCUGCAUAACAAAGAAAUGAAAGCUGCAAUAGGGCCUUGAACAUGCCAUUCUUGGCACUGAUUAAUAUGUGGUGAAGCCUGAUGAUAAUUUGGAAGAAGUUAAAGAAGCAUCCAUGGAAUAUAUGCUGUUAGUCAUGAGCAUGAUUCACAGAAUCAGUAAGUGUUUUAAGUACAAGUAGGAUAAUGACAUUAACCUUUUCCAUGGGACUCUCCAGUCUUUAGCUAAAAUGGCUAACAAGUUUGUGGUUAGCAGAGGAUUGGAAAAAAAAAUGGACCCCGACCUCUGCAGUGUUUUUCUCUUAUUUCUGAUUCUGACUAUUCUGAAGAUGUAGAUAAAUUUAAGAUUGUAUUAUGAUUUUGUGUACGAGCUUAUUGGUUUCUUAUUUUUGAAGAAGCAACCAAUGUCAUCUUUGGCCUUGCUCUGGGAUACAAGUCUAUCAUUAUUCCUAUUUUUGCCAUUGCAAUCAGCAUUUUUGUGAGUUUUACUUUUGCUGCAAUGUAUGGCAUUGCUAUGGCUGCCCUUGGGAUGCUGAGCACCAUUGCGACAGGGUUGGCUAUUGAUGCCUAUGGGCCAAUCAGUGACAAUGCAGGAGGUAUUGCUGAGAUGGCAGGCAUGAGCCAUUGUAUUCGUGAGAGAACUGAUGCCCUUGAUGCUACUGGCAACACUACUGCUGCCAUACGCAAGGGAUUUUGUCAAAAGGCACCACGUGGGUACUUGCCAAUAGUAACUCUCAAACUCGGGCCAUGUAUAGGCCCAAAAUGUAAGCCGUAACUCGUUAAGAGAAGUUCAUUAUAAAAUGGGAAGAAAGCAGAAUUAGGGUUUUAUAUCGUGCAUAGUGUGGUAGCAGCAGCUAAGCUUGUUUCCGUUGCCGCUUCACCCACCGUAGCAACCAUGAUCAUUCCCAAGAAGAACCGUAAAGAGAUAUGCAAAUACCUCUUCCAAGAGGUGAUUCGGCAGUGACCGUGAUGGAUACCGUGGUGGUCCACGCAGGCCUCAUUUUUCAGGGCAAAGGUCCUGAGACACUUCGAGAAGGGGCGAAGAUGUUAUGAGAGGCUAAUUCAUGGUUCAAAAUUCAAAUGGCAUUUCAGUAACAGGAAACUCUUACUCACCACUAUGACUUUCUUGCACACGCCCUGGAAAUCCAGCUAGAAACCAUUUUCAGCUCAAAUCCUCAAAUGGGCCUCCGCAAAAUGCUGUUUCUUCUAAUAACAGGUGGUCUUGGUGGAGGGCCUGAUUUUGGUCGUGGUUCCGGUGGUUAUGGUUCACCUUGCAAUUUUGGCUGUCAUUGGAGUUAAUAGUAGUUGUUAUCCUCUCCCAAUAGUUGCUCGAUAUGUCAGACAAUUUACUUAUUCGGUUAUUUAUGUAAUAAAGAUUUUGAUUGAGUGUCUGUUGUAAUAGGUUGACAAUAUUGUUUCUGUUGAAUGAUUGAUGGUUUAUAAAGUGAAAAAUGACUAGGAAAAGCCUUAAUUUUUAUUUCAAAAA
Long non-coding RNA from Glycine soja, 2292 nucleotides. RefSeq lists it as uncharacterized. The record is from RefSeq and is a predicted model, not a curated record. The transcript has 9 exons. Lineage: Eukaryota; Viridiplantae; Streptophyta; Magnoliopsida; Fabales; Fabaceae.